CACGCAUUGUGCAACUGAAGUCCAAGUUCCAGGCUGUCUGCUGAGUGCCAUAGGAAGGGAGGAGAAACAGGACAUAAGAUUAAGGAGAUCAUGGCUGCCAUUGAUCGGAAUCCUAUCAUUGGCUCGUUGAGAGUUUGCCACCUGCAAGCACUUGUUGUGUACUUGAAGGCCCUGAGAAACUCAAAGGAAUACCUGAGCUGCCAGGACUGGUGUCAUCACUGAAAGCGGUCAUAAACAACUUGGCAGAUUCAUCUAUUUCCUCCAGCCAAAGCGACUCAC
Molecule: long non-coding RNA, 279 nt
Organism: Sardina pilchardus (European sardine)
Lineage: Eukaryota; Metazoa; Chordata; Actinopteri; Clupeiformes; Clupeidae
Exons: 3
Source: RefSeq, a predicted model, not a curated record